CGGAGCAUGCGGAUUAAUUCGAUGCAACGCGAAGAACCUUACCAAGGCUUGACAUGCACCGGAAACCGCCAGAGAUUGGUGGCUCCGUAAGGCUGGUGCACAGGUGGUGCAUGGUUGUCGUCAGCUCGUGUCGUGAGAUGUUGGGUUAAGUCCCGCAACGAGCGCAACCCUCGUCCCAUGUUGCCAGCGGGUGAUGCCGGGGACUCAUGGGAGACUGCCGGGGUCAACUCGGAGGAAGGUGGGAUGACGUCAAAUCAUCAUGCCCCUUAUGUCUUGGGCUUCACGCAUGCUACAAUGGCCGGUACAGAGGGUUGCGAUGCCGUGAGGCGGAGCGAAUACCCAAAAAGCCGGUCUCAGUUCGGAUUGGGGUCUGCAACUCGACCCCCAUGAAGUCGGAGCCGCUAGUAAUCGCAGAUCAGCAACGCUGCGGUGAAUACGUUCCCGGGCCUU
Molecule: ribosomal RNA, 450 nt
Filed under: uncultured Cellulosimicrobium sp.
Lineage: Bacteria; Bacillati; Actinomycetota; Actinomycetes; Micrococcales; Promicromonosporaceae
Description: bacterial SSU rRNA
Rfam family: Bacterial small subunit ribosomal RNA
Source: RNAcentral